AUUAUAAGGCACUAUCAUGAAAAACUGUGGAACUUUAAAUAAUUAAAUGGAAGUUAACAACUAAAUAUCUGAAAUCUACGUCUAUUACAAUCACUUAAGUCUUAAUUACCCAAAACCUGGUGUCACAGUGUUACAGACUAUCUAAGAUUACUACAUACAAGGUCUGAAGAAAUAACAGUACAUUGUUUCUGAAUAAAGGAAAAAUGAAACGAAAAAUAGAGAUAGAGGGAGACGCUAGGGCCUGCGGAUGCCUGCAGGUCUACUUAGGUCUCCGGGUGGGCUGAAGAAAGCACUCCGAUUACUGUCCGAAAGCUGCUCCGGGAUCUGUACACAGUGCAGAAUGUAGUAUCAGCACAAUCGACCCCAUGUACUGGUAAGUGUCUAGUCUAACCUCGGCGAAGUAGUGACGAGUCUAGGACCAGACUACCAAAUACACCUGUGCAAUUCAAAUAUAUACAACGGAAAAGAAAUACAGAAAUAACCAGUCAAUAUGGGAGGGGAAACAUGCUGUGGGGGAGAUAACAGUUCCGAAUAGAUAGGCAUCAAGUAAGGAAUGAAACAACAUAACUCGUAUAUCGACAAAGAAUCAGAAAUCAACAAUUGCACGGCAUCACCCUUCAUGCUUUUACUCUCGUCCUCACCAAAGCAAUUGUAUAAUAAAAGUGUGCACGACAUCACCCUUCGUGUUUUUACUCUCGUCCUCACCAAAACAGUCAUAUAAUAAAAAUGUGCACGGCAUCACCCUUUGUGCUUUUACUCUCUUUUAUCACCAUAUAAUCAAUAAAAUCGGCACGGAAUGGUACAUCGUGCGGCACGACAUCAGUCUUCGUGCUUUACACUCUUUCCUCACAAUAACAAACAAUGUACGACAUUAUCCUUUGUGCUUUAACACUCUUAUUCAUCCAAACAAUGAUCACAAACAAAGGGGCAAGGGAAUAAACAAGAUCAUAUAGGAAUCCCGACAAGGAAACAGCAAUUAAACAAUUACAUUCCGGCAAAGGAACACCAAUUAAACAAUUAAAUCCCUGGGAACAACAAUUAAACAAUUAAAUCCCCGCAAGGGAACAACAAUUAAACAAUUAAAUCCUGGCAAAGGAACAAUUUAAUAAUUCUUUCACUUGUAUUUCAUAACUCACUUUACCACUUGAGCCAAUGCUCCAAAGAGUUCAAUCGUCUCAUAUACUUUCACAAUUCGUAAUAUAGCUUAAGCCAAUGCUCCUCGAUGUUCAAAGGUCACCAUUCCUUCCACAAACUUUUCACAACAAAUAGAAAUCAUCACCAAGGCAUGAAAGAUACAACAAAAUCAAGAUAUUUACCAAAUAAAGACUCACAAUCAUGCUAGACACCAACGUAUAGAUACUCUUCACCAUGCCUAUACGUCGUGCUCAGCAUUACCACAUAGCAAAUAGGACUCAACUCCUCAUUCCUCAAGAUAAGGUUAGACCAAAAGAUACAGCAAAAUCAAGAUAUUCACCAUAUAAAGACUCACGGUCAUGCUAGAUACCAUACCAACGUAUAGGUACUCGUCACCAUGCCUAUACGUCGUACUCAACAAUUACCAUAUAGCAAAUAGGACUCAACUCCUAAUCCCUCAAGCUAAGGUUAGACCAAAUACUUAGUUCAAACUUCCACGGCCAACUCAAGCCUCAAACACCGCUUUUCCUUUCGAAUUCUGCUCUAAACCAAUUGCAUCUAUACAUAAUUGACUUUAUAACAUCAAUAAACGCUAAACAAUUCAAUUCCAAUGCCUAAUUAUAGCUUUCUAAUCAUUCUUCCCAAAAAUCCAAAAAUUGACCCGGGGCCCGCUUGGUCAAAACACGAGGUUCGGACUAAAACCCAAUCACCCAUUCACCCAUGAGCCCGAAUAUAUAAUUAGUUUUGAAAUCCGUCCCCAAAACAAGGUCUACAUCACAAUUAAUCAAAAAAGCCCUAACUCUACCCAAAUACCUAAUUUUCUACCCUUUAAUAACAUGAUUUAAGCCUAGAAAUCUAAUGGGUGUUAAUGGAAAUUGAAGAAAAUGAGUCUAAGAUCACAUAUCUAUGACUUGGUGGUGAAAUCCCCUUUCAAAAUCGCCCAAGUUGGAGUUAAGAUGGAGAAGUUAUGAAAUUUUGAAGAAUUCCCGUAAUGGCUACUGUUUUAAGUGCUGGGCGAACACUGUCUGGAUCGCGAAGGGCUGCCAGUAAGUGGACUUACGCGUUCGCGAGUCCUCCUACGCGUUCGCGAAGGGUUGACCCCCCUGACCAUCGCGUUUGCGGACCUACGUAUGCGUUCGCGUAGAAGAAUGACAACAUCCCCAGGCCACCUCCAAUUUACCAUAUGCGUUCGCGGGAAAGGGGUCGCGUUCGCGUAGAGCAACCCUCCAAAGCUCCACGUUCGCGUCCCCCUCUUCGCGUUCGCGUAGAACAAAUCAACCCCUGUCCCCAUUUACCUUACGCAAUCGCGAGUGUUACUAUGCGAUCGCGAUGUACAACAGAUCUGUGCACUUGCAAUAGAAAUUAUGCAACUUUUCUCAAGUCCAAAACUUUGCGAAACACAUCCGAAACACACCCUAGCCCUCGGGGAUCGAAGCAAACAUACGUACUAACUCAAUGACAUCAUACGAACUUAUCCAUGUGAUCAAAUCGCCAAAAUAACCUAAAUAACAAUGAAUUAAACCUCAAAAUCAAAGAACUUUUCUCAAACUUCUUAAAACAUCAAUUUUAGCAAUUUAGGUCCGAAUCACGUCAAAUGACAUCCGUUUUUCACCAAAUUUCACAGAAACGUCUUAAAGCAUAUAUAAGACCUGUAUCGGAUUCCUGAACCAAAAUAUGGGCCCGAUGCCAUCAUGUUCUAAGCAAAUUUCAUUUUAAAUUUCUUUAAACAAUUUCAGAAAAUAAUUUUCUUUAAAAAUUCAUUUCUCGGGCUUGGGACCUUGGAAUUCGAUUCUGGGCAUACGCCUAAGUCCCAUAUUUUCCUAUGGACCCUCAGGAUCCGUCAAAUCAUGGAUCCAGGUCCGUUUACCCAAAAUGUUGACCAAAGUCAAAUUAACUCAAUUUUAUAGCCAAAUUUUAUCAUUUUUCAUAGAUUUUCAUAUUUAAGCUUUACGGCUACGCACCUGGACUGCCCGCGCAAAUCAAGGUGGCUCUAUAUGAGGUUUUCAAGGCCUCGGAAACGUAGAAUUUAAUUUUAAAAUGAGUGACGACCUUUUGUUUUAUGCUAUUUGUGCUGGAGUUACUAAUGCUAUUUUGUUUUUGUUUUUGUUAGGGUCGAUUGGAAACAGCCUCUCUGCCCUUUCGGGUAGGGGUAAGGCCCGUCUACAUAUUACCCUCCCCAGACCCCACUUUGUGGGACUAUACUGGGUAGUUAUUGUUGUUGUUGUUGUUGAUGACCUUUUGGUCGUCACAUAACCACAAGUGUCCAAAUAUGUAAUUAGGUUCCAAAACCGAGUCCAAAUCGACUACCAAAUUCCCAAUUUUCAUUUUUGCAAACGUAGUCAAGAACCCCCAAUAUUCUCCUCCAACUCCCAUAAUGUAAGUGUAAUAAUCUAUAGGAAAACAAGAUAUAAUCAAAAUUAAGUAGAAAUCACUUGCCCUAAAACUUUGUGUGGAGAUUCUCUUAAAAAACCAGUCAUCUCCAAGUCUAGGGUUCAAAACAUGAGAUAAUGGGUCUAAGUGCCGAAAUUCCUCCAAUACAGUCAACUGUAGAAGUUGUAAAUGCGACCAGAUGGCUCGCAAAUGCGAAUUAGCUCCUUCAGCUUCAGUUAUCGCAAAUGUGACCAAGUGUUGUAAAUGCGAUACUCCCUUCAUAAAUGCCGAUGUCGCAAUUGCAAUACUUGUUUCGCAAAUACGAACUGGCCUUCUUAGGCAUCCAUCGUAAAUGCGAUCAAGACUUCGCAAUUGCGAUGUCUGCAACACUUGCAUACCUGAGCUUUCCCAAAACCAAUCCGAAAUCAACCCGAAACUCGUCCAAGCCCCUCGGGCCUCACACCAAACAUCCACACUAGUAUAUAAACCUCAUACGAACUCACUCAUGAGCUCAAAACAUCAAAAUAACAUCCAUAACCAGGAAUCAAGCACCAAAACACAUCAUGCAAGCCUUCGAGUUCAAGAACUUCAAAUUUCACAACCAAGCCUCCGAUUCAUAUCAAACCAUUUUGGAAUGAAACUAAACACAAGUUCCAAAUGACGAAAUAUACUUAUUCCAAGUCCCGGAAUAACAAUUCGAACCGAUAACCUCAAAUUUAACUCAAGAUCAAACUUGUGAAUUUUCUAGACCUUCAAAAUUGCCAACUUCGGCAAUUAGAACUAAAUCAUUCUAGGAACUUCCAAAUACAAUCUGGACAUGCGUCUAAGUCCAAAAUCGCCGUACGAACCUAUUGGAAGCAUCAAAAUAUCGAAUCCGAGGUCGUUUACACAAAAGUCAAACUUUGGUCAACUCUUAUAACUUAAACUUCCAAAAAGGGAACUAAGUGUUCCAAUUCACUCCGAAACCUUCCUGGAACCAAACCAACCAUCCCUGCAAGUCACAAAACAACAACUUGCGGGAAGCAUCAAAUGUGGAAACGAGUGGCUGGAUCGCUGCAAAUCGUUCCACUGGACAAGCAUCCAAAAAGUGCUUCGUACAUCACAACCUUAUGCACUGAAAUGAGAAAAUUGUUUUAUAUUUCUAGGAAUUACAUUCACUAUCCAAACAUAUUAUUGAUAGCAUUUGAUCAAGAUUUAUUGUUCGAUGAAUUAAUUUACAUUCUUGUCACUGUAGAAAUAAGCUUAAGUUACUCUAUAGACGGAAAACACUAACUUAUACAAUAACAACAACAAAUCCAGUUUAAUCUCAUAAGCGGGGUUUGGGAGGGUAGUGUGUACGCAGACCUUACCCCUACCCUAUAAAGGUAGAGAGACUGUUUUAGAUAGACCCUCGGCUCAAGUAACAGUGAAAAUAAAGUAACAAGCAAUAGCAACGGCAAUGUAAUAGGGUAAUGAAAGCGAAUGACACAACAAAUAAUAAAGAAACAGGAUAACCUAUAAUGAUAGAAAAUCUUGGCUUUUCCCGAAAGAAGUUUGACGUUGGUUGUCUAAGGAAGCUAGACUUCUAGAGAGGAGAAGAGCUCUCUUUUCACACUUUGUCCAUCUCUGUCUUCUGUAAAAUAGAUGCCUAUAAUCUUUUCUAUGAUAGUCGCUUAAGGCAUGUUAAAUACUGUUGCCAUUCUAAUUAGAGAUGCGUUGCCUGUAUUUCUAUUGAACAAAAAAGAGUUUAGCACCAUGAUUCAUGAUAUCUAGGCAUGUACUUAGAAUACAUAUUCUUAUUUCUAAGUUUAGUAGACAAGAUGUGGAGUCAGAGCUAUUUACUUGCAUCAGAUUGGAUAAUGUAAAAUUGCUCUUAGAGGUGUAAAAGUAGAUCUCAUAGUGUGUCAAUAUAUUCACAAAUUUUAAUGUUGAAAUACUAAAUGAUGGCAAAUAAUGAAACUUCCAUUCCAAAGAGGAUCAUUUGAAAUGACAAUAACAGCAUUCAGUAGUACUUAUGUUGGAAACGGGGCUAGUUUUUGAGAGACUCAUUGGGAGUUGCCUUGUUUUUAAGUUUCUUCUGUUUCCAUGUUGCUUGUUCUUUUGUGAAUAUGGAGAAAUUUUAUUUGACAAUUGUCUGUUACUGAACGCAGCUCAUUUAUUUGGGGAUAAUUGGAGCUAGUUACUACUUUAUUGUGCAGUCAGCCUUUAAGUACAUUCCUGGGUAUUACUUAGGUGAAGUGCACAGGUACUAUUGAAUCUUUGUGUUUUACGUUGCUCUGAUAUGCAUCAGUUUGUUUGUCACUUGACUAUCUUUGAGACUUUGACCAUUAUCCAAAAAAGAAAAGAUAAACCUUGACUAGUCCGGUGGAUAAUCGAGAUAUAUGUACUUAAAUUCCCAGAGAUUACAUAAAAUUGCAGGUACACGAGCUUGUUGGCAGUUGGAGGGGGUAUUCUACUCUUUCUAUUGACUAGCUUUUCUGACCCAGGAACUGUAAAUAUUGAGAAUGUUUCGCAGUAUCUAUCUGCUUAUCCCUAUGACAAUAUUAUAUUCUCAGAAAAGGAAUGUCCAACCUGCAAGAUUCCAAAGUGAGUGCGUUUCUUCUGUUUAAAGCUCUGAUGCUCUAGUUUACGGCUCUAGCUAAUUGAACAUUAUUUCCUCUCCUAGUACAGACCUGCUAGGUCAAAGCACUGCAGCAUUUGUGAUCGUUGUGUCGCUCGAUUUGAUCAUCAUUGUGGAUGGAUGGUUUGUUAUUUUCUCCCUUUUUCUUUUCCAUCUUUCAGAUAUAUACAAGUUAACUCUAUAUCAACACUAUGUUCACCGUGUAUGUUCUUAUGGUUUUCAUACUGUUUCUCAAUAUCACUGCAGAACAAUUGCAUAGGCGAGAGAAACACCAGAUACUUUAUGGCUUUUCUUCUCUGGUGAGCAAAUGAUACUGAUUGGUCUUUCUGUUUAAGGUCUGAUCGCAUAUACGAAUUGCUCGCACUACUUCCGUCUGCCGGGGCCUGGGACAGGCAGUGGGGUGUAUCAGGCGCAGUUACAAUUUUUUUUUUUAAAAAAACUUCCCAUUGUUUACUGGUCUUCUGUGUUAAUUUAACCUUGUAUCAACAUGGUAGUAAUAGAAAGAAGCUGGGAACGGGUAGAGUGAGUUGGGUUCAGAAAAAAACAUGAGAAAUAGUUUGAGAAAAUGCAAUACACAUUCAUAAAAUGAUUUCUGAAAUACGGGCAGGAGAUGUCAUUCUCAUAGGAAGUCAUCAUCUGGAGAAAUAAGGCUGUAGGAAAACAGGCUUCUGCAACUGCAGAUAUGUGGUCAUUCUGCAUUCUUUCAAAAUCUUAAAUGGUUUUUGCUGCAGUCAACUUCAGAUGUUACACCGUGCUUUUGAUUGUAGAAUAGCGGUUAGAUAAUUGAAGUGAGAUUUUUGAGUAUCUCUCUAUUUUUUGUUUUAAAAAAACCAUUUAGGUCAUUGUAAUGGUCUUUUCAUCAAGGCGUGAUAUGAAACAUCUUUUUUAUCCAUGGUACCAACCCUUCAAUGCACUGUGAUGAAUUUCCCUUUUUGAUAGGGGAUAUUUUCUGUUUACUCUCCCUUUCACAAUGGAAGUUUCUUGUUUAUUUUUGCAUAACCUUGGAAGGGGAUAGGGGAUACUCCCAUUUCCUCCUCCCCCACCGCCCACCCCCACAGCAAAUGAGACCCCAUCACUAGCAUAUAUUAUUGGCUAACCUUUGUGGAACUUGAUCACUUUUAUUGCUACUCCUCCUGGAGAAAUACUCAUGCCAUUGUUGCCAUCGUUUGAUCUUAUUACAUAUCAGGAUAAAACAGAAAACGUAAAUAGCUGUUUCUUCUACAGAAAAGCUUUUUAAGAAACUGAAAAACACACAGAGCAAAAGAGAGAGAUACAACAUUAGUGGAGAAAUGAUUCUUUAAACUUGGCUUCUUGAGAACAUUUACUAAAGCUAAUCUAGAUAAAAAUUUCAACAGCUUGUCCUAAUUCCUGAACUCAUCCGAUCUCUUUGUUCUUGUUUCAGAAAGUACUUUUUAGUCGUAAGUCAUUGUGAAAAGUUCUGCUAAAUAAGAACUUAUUAGAGAGAGUUCUUUUUUUUUGUAUGUUUAAUCUUGACACUGCCUUUACUCUUCACUUCACAUGCUCGUGAAAAUAUGUAUCUGAAUAACAUUAGAUUCAACUUCCAUUAUGAAGGAUUUUGUAUUUAACACUGUUGACCAAGUUGAUGAGACUUUUACCUUGACUAUCCUGUAAUUUUCAACACGUAUCUGCAGGCAUUUUCUUCUCUGUUUAUAUGGGACAGUUGCUAUUGGACUAGUGCUAGCUGGCCGACUGAAAGAACUGCGGGUUAUAGAUAUUCUUACCGGUGCAUAGACUACUUUAAAUUUUAAUGGUGCUCAAUUGCAUGUUAUAGUCAAAAUGAAAGUUGAAUUUCUCUGUUAUUGCAGUUUAUUAUGGCUUCGAGAACUCAUUUAGUAGUUUAGCUCCACAUGUUGUAGCGGUAAGUGGAUCACCUUUUUCUAUUCAGCAUCCCCCCCCCCCCCCCCCNNNNNNNNNNNNNNNNNNNNNNNNNNNNNNNNNNNNNNNNNNNNNNNNNNNNNNNNNNNNNNNNNNNNNNNNNNNNNNNNNNNNNNNCCCCCUUGAUGCUUGCAUGUAUUGUGUGUGCAUUGACGGAUAGUUCAGACCUAAUGAAAACUCUUACCAAAUACUAAUUCUGUUUCGAGAACUUUUAAGAAAGAGUUAACAUAAGUCCUUGAUAAAGGCAAUGCUAUCAAGCAUUCGUACCUGCUAUACGUCCUUAUCCUCCAUUCAUGCUUCACUUUUGCAAAAGCCUUGAGAAGAUGAUGAGGGAUUUCCUGUAUGACAAAAAUUGUGACUAUCAUUUUUUUAUAUGGAGAAAUUCUGGAGUCCUAUACAAAAUGGUCGUGUAUUCGGUGAUUGGGGAUAUUUAUUUAUACACUGUUGGGGAAGUGGCUAUGGUGAUAUGCUAAUG
RNAcentral lists this long non-coding RNA (8474 nucleotides) under Nicotiana benthamiana. RNAcentral's name for it is "long non-coding RNA (NBEN_LNC028169)". Lineage: Eukaryota; Viridiplantae; Streptophyta; Magnoliopsida; Solanales; Solanaceae. The record is from RNAcentral.